This 253-nucleotide ribosomal RNA is filed under the name uncultured bacterium. Its description in RNAcentral is "partial 16S ribosomal RNA". It matches the Rfam family "Bacterial small subunit ribosomal RNA", at positions 526 to 779 of the family's 1533-position model. The record is from RNAcentral.
CGUAGGUGGCAAGCGUUGUCCGGAAUUACUGGGUGUAAAGGGCGUGUAGGCGGGGUGGCAAGUCAGAUGUGAAAUACCGUGGCUUAACUACGGGGUGCAUCUGAAACUGCUGCUCUUGAGUGUCGGAGAGGAAAGUGGAAUUCCCAGUGUAGCGGUGAAAUGCGUAGAGAUUGGGAGGAACACCAGUGGCGAAGGCGGCUUUCUGGACGAUAACUGACGCUGAGGCGCGAAAGCGUGGGUAGCAAACAGGAUU